CGGGUCUUGCUUGCAGGCCCACUAUUCUUCCCUGAGCCUGCACGCGGGCUAUGGUUUUACAAUAUUUUCAACCACUCUCACUAACUAAAUUUAUAAAAAUUGAAUGAAUUUAAAUUGUUCAUUUGAAAGAAGUCCCUCCCCCAAUAUAUACACACACCAUGACCAAAGCAUACUUAGAUCAAAGAAACUUCGAAAAUGUAAACCUUUUUUGAAGAAUAUAUAGAAUAUUUUAUAAAAAAAUUAAUAGCACGUCCUUGUGGUAAAUAUGCGGUGCAUUAAUUCUGGCUCAAUGGCAAAAGUCUACAUUAUUACAUAAAGUUUUCAUUGUCACGUUUCAAAUUGCCAUAUACAUGUAAAUUAUUUACAAUCACGGGUAACUGAUACCAGUCAAGAAAUCUUCAAUCCAGG
This is a non-coding RNA of Paramuricea clavata, 408 nucleotides long. NCBI's taxonomy places the organism in Eukaryota, Metazoa, Cnidaria, Anthozoa, Malacalcyonacea, Plexauridae. The record is from the annotation of a GenBank genome assembly.